GUGUGGUAAAUGCACAGUAUAUAGCACUGUGCAGCAGACUCCAAAAGGUGCAUACAUCGAAGUGAAUUCAACUAGUUGCAGGGAAUCUGUCGAGAAUACGAAGAGCUUUUGAACCGGACUAAAAGCGAAAGAAACAACCAAAAGCAUCAUCAAACUUUCCUCAGAAGAUGUCAUUUCAAGAGAAACAAAGUGACUCCUCCUUGAAACGUUGCGCUGCUUUAGGCGCUGGCAUAUUAACCAUUUGGAUAAUUGCAGUUUUGUACGCACUGGCUUUCAAUUUCACAUGCCCAUGUAGAGAGGAUCACAAUGCAGCGGUAACACUGUUCUUCUUCCUUUGCCCUGCUUUUUUUCUCUUCGUCAUAAUGUUCCACAUUCUAAGGCCUCUUAAAUACGGAUGGUUUCACUGCCCUGAACGAGUGGAAGAUGAUACGCCUCGGAGCUGUCCUAAAGCUCUCAUAUCUUGUCUGAUUCCACCUGUAAUGUGGAUCGUCUUCUUGUUACUCAAAGGUGAAUAUGUUGCUUGUGCCAUGACAGACUGGAACGGAAUUUAUUCUGAUGAUGAUGAACUACAAACACAGUGGUGUAAACCAACUGAAGGGAUGCGAACGGAGAUGGAGCUAAAACAUUUAACUCGCACAUAUAUUCAUCAAUCUCAGUAUGCAGGUUAUGUCUUGAUCACUUUCUUCAGUGUCUUGUCGCUUACCAUUGUGGCUAUCUAUGACAGCUGCAUAAGUGGGAAAUGUGACUGGUGCCCAAGUGGACUGUUGUUCCUCUGUGGACGAAAAGGGAGACUCUAUAGACUGGAUGACGUGGAGUUCAGCCCCACCACCUCCAUCAAACACCCACUUCUUGCUUUGUCUAAAAAUGAAUAAACAGCUGAAUUUAGGAGGGAUGUACAAAAAAAAAAAGGUUCCAAAAGGGUGUUUUCACAGCAAUGCCUUAAGGUUUGUUCACACUUGGCAUGUUUGGUUCGAUUUAAAGUUUCAAAUUAACCCUUACGCGAUUGCUCUGUUAGUGCGGUUCAUUUGAAUAAGUGUGAACGCUGCCAUCUGAACCCUCAUGCGCACCAAACAAGCGGACCGAGACCCUUGAAAAGAUGGGUCUCAAUCCGCUUACAAACAAACUUUGGUGCGGUUUGAAAUGGUAUGAAUGCAAUGCACACCAAAAGUAUCUAUAAACAAGAUGCGACCCUAAAAAGACUCGUCAUAGUCAAGGUGUUUCCCAUCACAGUUCGGUACAGGUUCUGUCUCCUCAUGCCAGAUCUUCGUUUGUGUGUGAUAGAGGGAUUCCCGACGCUGUUUUGACUCCUUUACACAUUUUAAAAGCUCUUUACGAGUUCAAAAUCCUGAACCACCCCUUAAGUUUUGGUGUUAAAAUGCCAUUGUGAAUGCUAAGAGGACCAGGACGAUUUUUUGUUGUUGUUGUUGUUGUUGUUGAUCCGGACCAAACGAACCAAAAUACAAGUGUGAACACACCCAAAGAAGAACGAUUUUUGGUUCCCCAAAUAACCUUUUGGUGACGGGAUGAAUUCUUGAAUCCACUGCCACUUCAAUGUAUAUCCUUUGAGUGGUUGUUUAUGUUAUUAAUCAAUAUUUAUCCAUAUCAAAUGAUUUGAAUGACUUCAUCAAGCUUGUUACAUGUAUGUUCACUGAAACUCUCUUUAUUAUGACAAAUCACUGUAAUUGAGGUCAAGAAAACUAUUCAUAACAGAGAUAUAAUGGUCUCAUGACUGCCAAUGUCAAAAUCAUCCACCUGACAGUUUCAUGUAAUGUUAACCAAUAAAGCUAGGUGGUUUCUUAAGUUUGAUAAUUAAUCUGCUAUGUCAUGUUUAUGAA
Non-coding RNA from Pimephales promelas (fathead minnow), 1835 nucleotides. NCBI's taxonomy places the organism in Eukaryota, Metazoa, Chordata, Actinopteri, Cypriniformes, Leuciscidae. The record is from RefSeq and is a predicted model, not a curated record.